This 72-nucleotide transfer RNA is filed under the name Urocitellus parryii (Arctic ground squirrel). RNAcentral's name for it is "Spermophilus parryii (Arctic ground squirrel) tRNA". It matches the Rfam family "tRNA". From Rfam's summary of the family: Transfer RNA (tRNA) molecules are approximately 80 nucleotides in length. Their secondary structure includes four short double-helical elements and three loops (D, anti-codon, and T loops). Further hydrogen bonds mediate the characteristic L-shaped molecular structure. tRNAs have two regions of fundamental functional importance: the anti-codon, which is responsible for specific mRNA codon recognition, and the 3' end, to which the tRNAs corresponding amino acid is attached (by aminoacyl-tRNA synthetases). tRNAs cope with the degeneracy of the genetic code in two manners: having more than one tRNA (with a specific anti-codon) for a particular amino acid; and 'wobble' base-pairing, i.e. permitting non-standard base-pairing at the 3rd anti-codon position. Lineage: Eukaryota; Metazoa; Chordata; Mammalia; Rodentia; Sciuridae. RNAcentral also lists the same sequence under 2 other names. The record is from Rfam by way of RNAcentral.
AGGGCUGUAGCUCAGUGGUAGAGCACUUGCCUAGCACGUGUGAGGCACUGGGUUCAAUUCUCAGCACCACAU